GUGAAUUGUGUACAAUUUUUUGUAACCAUGAUGAAAGCAUUUCUCUUUACACUUAUUAAUCAGUUACCAGUUACUACUACUCUACAAAAAACGGGUUGGAGCCGAAAUCCAAUAUAUAACGCAGUUAGGCGCCGCCCGUUUUUGAAAACCCUAGUUGCGCACCUGACUGUGCCCUCUGAUCCGGCAACUCUCUCCGCCGCACCGAUGGAAGUUCCUUCCGAGCCACCGCCAGCAACCGCCACCGGCGAAACCAUUAGCAAGAAUGCACUGAAGCGGGAACUCAAGAACAAGCAGAAGGAAGAAGAACGGAAACGCAAGGAGGAGGAAAAAGCCAAAAAGGCUGCUGAAAUGCAAAGUGCUAAGGAUAACAAAUCUGCACCUGUUGAUGAAGAUGAUAUGGACCCAACGCAAUACUUUGAGAAUAGGAUAAAGUAUCUUGCAGGUCAGAAAGGAGAAGGGAAUAACCCGUAUCCGCACAAGUUCUUUGUCACUAUGUCUGUUGCUGAAUACAUUAAGGAGUAUGAAGGUUUAAGCAAUGGGCAACACCUUGAGGACGUCUCUGUGUCUUUGGCUGGCCGAAUCAUGCACAAGCGCGCAUCUGGUGCAAAGCUUGUCUUUUAUGAUCUGCACGGUGGUGGUUUCAAGGUUCAGGUUAUGGCCGAUGCAAGUAAAUCGGACUUGAAUGAAGCUGAGUUUUCCAAGUUCCAUUCUAAUGUGAAGCGUGGUGACAUUGUUGGCAUCACUGGGUUUCCAGGCAAAAGCAAGAAGGGAGAGCUUAGUAUAUUCCCUAAGACUUUUGUGGUACUGUCUCACUGUCUGCAUAUGAUGCCGAGGCAAAAAUCCGCAGCUGCUGCUGAUAAUGCAAAUUUGAAGAAAAAUCUGUGGGUACCAGGAAAUACCAGGAAUCCUGAAACCUACAUUUUGAAAGAUCAGGAAACAAGAUACCGAUUACGCCAUUUGGAUUUGAUGCUUAAUCCAGAGGUUCGAGAAAUAUUCAAGACUAGGUCCAAAAUCAUUUCUUACAUUAGGAGGUUCCUUGAUGACCUUGAUUUCUUGGAGGUUGAAACACCUAUGAUGAACAUGAUUGCUGGUGGAGCUGCAGCCCGUCCAUUUGUAACACAUCACAAUGAUCUUAAUAUGAGGUUAUUCAUGAGAAUUGCUCCAGAACUCUAUCUUAAGGAGUUGGUUGUUGGUGGGCUGGACCGUGUUUAUGAAAUUGGUAAACAAUUUAGGAAUGAGGGCAUUGAUUUGACUCAUAAUCCUGAGUUUACUACCUGUGAGUUCUAUAUGGCAUAUAUGGACUACAACGACUUAAUGGAACUAACUGAGCAAUUGUUGAGUGGUAUGGUUAAGGAGCUUACAAAAGGCAGCUAUAAAAUCAAGUAUCAUGCAGAUGGGAUUGAUAAGGAUCCUAUUGAAAUCGAUUUUACUCCACCUUUCAGAAGGAUUGACAUGAUUGAAGAUUUAGAGAAGAUGGCAGGCCUCAAUAUUCCCAAAGACUUGUCAAGUGAGGAAGCUAACCAAUAUCUGAGGGAUGCUUGCUUGAAGCAUGAGAUCAAAUGCCCUCCUCCCGAAACAACUGCUCGUUUGUUGGAUAAACUUGUGGGGCACUUUUUGGAAGAAACGUGUGUGAAUCCUACAUUCAUCAUAAACCAUCCUGAGAUAAUGAGUCCAUUGGCAAAGUGGCACAGAUCAAAACCAGGCCAGACUGAACGUUUUGAAUUGUUUGUUAAUAAACAUGAAGUUUGCAAUGCAUAUACGGAAUUGAACGACCCUGUGGUGCAACGACAGAGAUUUGCUGAACAACUAAAGGACCGGCAAUCAGGUGAUGAUGAGGCAAUGGCCUUAGAUGAAACAUUUUGUACUGCUUUGGAGUAUGGUUUGCCACCAACAGCUGGUUGGGGUUUGGGUAUUGAUAGGUUGACCAUGAUAUUCACUGAUUCACAGAAUAUUAAGGAGGUUCUACUUUUCCCUGCCAUGAAGCCUCAAGAUUGAGCCUUCUUUUCAAGCUUUCUUUAAAUCUAUCCCAGUAAAAUCAUUGUUUACAGGAACAUGAGAAAUUCAAGAUGAUUAAGAUGGGAACUAAAUUUUGAUUUUUGUAUUUGAUUAUAAAACUUGCCAUUUACGGUUCAUGCAUCGUCAUCUACCCUUUCUCAUCUGUUCUUCAAGGGCUGUUUUGGGAAGGGUGCUUUUGUUUUUCUUGGUGAUUGGAUUAACUGAUAUGUCAUAUACUAGCUGUUUUAUUGGUCGAAAGCUUAUUUAUAAUAGAUCUGAGGUAACAUUAAGAA
Lotus japonicus is the source of this 2288-nucleotide RNA transcript. It is a transcript of the gene named lysine--tRNA ligase-like, with no coding region annotated. Lineage: Eukaryota; Viridiplantae; Streptophyta; Magnoliopsida; Fabales; Fabaceae. The transcript is spliced from 17 exons. The record is from RefSeq and is a predicted model, not a curated record.